This 253-nucleotide ribosomal RNA is filed under the name uncultured bacterium. RNAcentral's name for it is "partial 16S ribosomal RNA". It matches the Rfam family "Bacterial small subunit ribosomal RNA", at positions 524 to 776 of the family's 1533-position model. The record is from RNAcentral.
UACGAAGGGGGCUAGCGUUGUUCGGAAUCACUGGGCGUAAAGCGCACGUAGGCGGACCUAUAAGUCAGGGGUGAAAUCCCGGGGCUCAACCUCGGAACUGCCUCUGAUACUGUGGGUCUCGAGACCGGAAGAGGUGAGUGGAAGUCCUAGUGUAGAGGUGAAAUUCGUAGAUAUUAGGAAGAACACCAGUGGCGAAGGCGGCUCACUGGUCCGGUUCUGACGCUGAGGUGCGAAAGCGUGGGGAGCAAACAGG